GUGCCAGCCGCCGCGGUAAUACGGAGGGGGCAAGCGGUCUCGGAAUUACUGGGCGUAAAGCGCACGUAGGCGUUUUUGUAACUAGGGGGUAAAAGCCGGCAGUUCAACUGUAAAAACGCUUUAGAUUCUAUAGAUCGGGAGCGCCGGAGAGGGAGGCGGAAUCCCCGGUGUAGCUAAGAAAUGUGUAGAUAUCGGGAGGAACCCCAUGGGAGAAGGCGGCCAUCUGGUUGGUAACUGACUCUGAGGUGCAAGAGCGUGGGGAGCACAUGGGAUUAUAUCCCCGGUUAUUCUACCCUGUAAACUAUGGAUGU
This 311-nucleotide ribosomal RNA is filed under the name uncultured bacterium. RNAcentral describes it as "bacterial SSU rRNA". It matches the Rfam family "Bacterial small subunit ribosomal RNA", at positions 505 to 816 of the family's 1533-position model. The record is from RNAcentral.